This 487-nucleotide ribosomal RNA is filed under the name uncultured bacterium. RNAcentral's name for it is "bacterial SSU rRNA". It matches the Rfam family "Bacterial small subunit ribosomal RNA", at positions 28 to 526 of the family's 1533-position model. The record is from RNAcentral.
GACGAACGCUGGCGGCGUGCCUAACACAUGCAAGUCGAACGGAGUUAUUAAGGCCUUGUGCUUUAAUAACUUAGUGGCGGACGGGUGAGUAACACGUGAGUAACCUGCCUUAGGGUUUGGAAUACCAUACCGAAAGGUAUGCUAAUACCAAAUGAUAAAAGUUUUUCGCAUGGAGAGCUUUUCAACGAUUUAUCGCCCUACGAUGGACUCGCGGCCGAUUAGCUAGUUGGUGAGGUAAUGGCUCACCAAGGCGACGAUCGGUAGCCGGACUGUGCGGGCAAUCGGCCACAUUGGGACUGAGACACGGCCCAGACUCCUACGGGAGGCAGCAGUGGGGAAUAUUGCACAAUGGGGGAAACCCUGAUGCAGCGACGCCGCGUGAAGGAUGAAGGUUUUCGGAUCGUAAACUUCUGUCUUCGAGGAAGAAAUUUGACGGUACUCGAGGAGGAAGCCACGGCUAACUACGUGCCAGCAGCCGCGGUAAAAC